This is a non-coding RNA of Dermacentor albipictus, 1461 nucleotides long. The record is from RefSeq and is a predicted model, not a curated record. NCBI's taxonomy places the organism in Eukaryota, Metazoa, Arthropoda, Arachnida, Ixodida, Ixodidae.
CGCAUCUGAGCGUUGGCCUGUUUGGUCACCCGGCUGCCGUUUUUUCUGUUGGGAUUUAGCCUGGUUUGGUGGGCUCCCGACGAAUUCUUGCGUUCCGUCUGAACUUCGACAUGGCACCACUGCCCUAUUGAACUACGGCAAGGCUACCUGUUCCUGGGCCCUUUGCUGUGGCCUGCUGAGUUCGUGUCCAUCGGAUUUUGGAUUACUGCUUCUUCCAUGGCCACAUGCCGCGUCACCGGCACCAAUUUCGGACGGAUUCAGCUACCGCGUCUGGCAACAAGGCACUGCUACGCUCUGCACUACCGGCGGCGGUUAUAAAAGCCAUCGAGACAUCGGCGGCUUCGGGCACGGCACCGCAUCUGCGAUGGCGAGUUCACCAAAGCUGCUCUUGCAGGCUACCUGUUCCUGGGCCCUUUGCUGUGGCCUGCUGAGUUCGUGUCCAUCGGAUUUUGGACUACUGCUUCUUCCAUGGCCACAUGCCGCGUCACCGGCACCAAUUUCGGACGGAUUCAGCUACCGCGUCUGGCAACAAGGCACUGCUACGCUCUGCACUACCGGCGGCGGUUAUAAAAGCCAUCGAGACAUCGGCGGCUUCGGGCACGGCACCGCAUCUGCGAUGGCGAGUUCACCAAAGCUGCUCUUGCAGGCUACCUGUUCCUGGGCCCUUUGCUGUGGCCUGCUGAGUUCGUGUCCAUCGGAUUUUGGAUUACUGCUUCUUCCAUGGCCACAUGCCGCGUCACCGGCACCAAUUUCGGACGGAUUCAGCUACCGCGUCUGGCAACAAGGCACUGCUACGCUCUGCACUACCGGCGGCGGUUAUAAAAGCCAUCGAGACAUCGGCGGCUUCGGGCACGGCACCGCAUCUGCGAUGGCGAGUUCACCAAAGCUGCUCUUGCAGGCUACCUGUUCCUGGGCCCUUUGCUGUGGCCUGCUGAGUUCGUGUCCAUCGGAUUUUGGACUACUGCUUCUUCCAUGGCCACAUGCCGCGUCACCGGCACCAAUUUCGGACGGAUUCAGCUACCGCGUCUGGCAACAAGGCACUGCUACGCUCUGCACUACCGGCGGCGGUUAUAAAAGCCAUCGAGACAUCGGCGGCUUCGGGCACGGCACCGCAUCUGCGAUGGCGAGUUCACCAAAGCUGCUCUUGCAGGUCCUGCAGGCCACGAGAGUUUUGGGCUCUCAUGGAGUGGGCGUCUCCCAUGACGGAACCGGGAGGUUGAGGUUCCUGGCAGCGUCGUGGACCUGCUGGACGGCCCAGAGUUGGAGAGCGAGCUCUUCACUCCGGAUUGCCAACGUCGACGGGCAGGGCAGUCACAGCUUCCAAGCACGAGAGCCGUUGCUGAGCAGGAGCGCUCGACCCACUAGUGUUUAGAGCCAGUAGCGCUGAACCCACUAGCGUCUCUUCGCUACAAUAUAUAUAAUUUUGCAAGAAAUCGCCAAAUCUGUUAACCCUGCCCUGCA